RNAcentral lists this ribosomal RNA (617 nucleotides) under uncultured bacterium. RNAcentral's name for it is "bacterial SSU rRNA". It matches the Rfam family "Bacterial small subunit ribosomal RNA", at positions 338 to 947 of the family's 1533-position model. The record is from RNAcentral.
CCUACGGGAGGCAGCAGUAGGGAAUCUUCCGCAAUGGACGAAAGUCUGACGGAGCAACGCCGCGUGAACGAUGAAGGCCUUCGGGUCGUAAAGUUCUGUUGUUAGGGAAGAACAAGUGCUAGUUGAAUAAGCUGGCACCUUGACGGUACCUAACCAGAAAGCCACGGCUAACUACGUGCCAGCAGCCGCGGUAAUACGUAGGUGGCAAGCGUUGUCCGGAAUUAUUGGGCGUAAAACGCGCGCAGGCGGUUUCUUAAGUCUGAUGUGAAAGCCCCCGGCUCAACCGGGGAGGGUCAUUGGAAACUGGGAAACUUGAGUGCAGAAGAGGAAAGUGGAAUUCCAAGUGUAGCGGUGAAAUGCGUAGAGAUUUGGAGGAACACCAGUGGCGAAGGCGACUUUCUGGUCUGUAACUGACGCUGAGGCGCGAAAGCGUGGGGAGCAAACAGGAUUAGAUACCCUGGUAGUCCACGCUGUAAACGAUGAGUGCUAAGUGUUAGAGGGUUUCCGCCCUUUAGUGCUGAAGUUAACGCAUUAAGCACUCCGCCUGGGGAGUACGGUCGCAAGCUGAAACUCAAAGGAUUGACGGCNGAGAGNGCGAGACGACGACGAGGGAGAGG